Molecule: ribosomal RNA, 468 nt
Filed under: uncultured bacterium
Lineage: Bacteria
Description: partial 16S ribosomal RNA
Rfam family: Bacterial small subunit ribosomal RNA
Source: RNAcentral
GACGAACGCUGGCGGCGUGCUUAACACAUGCGAGUCGAACGGAAAGGCCCUGCUUUUGUGGGGUGCUCGAGUGGCGAACGGGUGAGUAACACGUGAGUAACCUGCCCUUGACUUUGGGAUAACUUCAGGAAACUGGGGCUAAUACCGGAUAGGAGCUCCUGCUGCAUGGUGGGGGUUGGAAAGUUUCGGCGGUUGGGGAUGGACUCGCGGCUUAUCAGCUUGUUGGUGGGGUAGUGGCUUACCAAGGCUUUGACGGGUAGCCGGCCUGAGAGGGUGACCGGCCACGUUGGGACUGAGGUACGGCCCAGAGUCCUACGGGGGGCAGCAGUGGGGAAUAUUGCACAAUGGGCGGAAGCCUGAUGCAGCAACGCCGCGUGCGGGAUGACGGCCUUCGGGUUGUAAACCGCUUUCGCCUGUGACGAAGCGUGAGUGACGGUAAUGGGUAAAGAAGCACCGGCUAACUACGUG